AAAACAAAUAUUUUUUAUUCACUAAUUAGUUGAUCAUAGUUUAUAGUUUUGGUGGUGGAAGUGGCGGAAUACAUACACAAUGACAACUGCCUCUAAUACAUAUGGUUCCGCAAGGUUUCUUACAAGAACCAACCGUUUGUGGGUUAACCAGCUUGGAAACUUGAAGAUCCAUUAACGGCAAAGACUUUUCUUCUUGUAACAUACGUUUCGCCUCAACAAUCUGAACAGUGACGGAUAUUACCCUGCAACAAUAAAGAUAAGUAACACAAUCUAAUUAUUUACGAUCAUAAAUAAUUAAGAAAAUUGUAUAAAGUUAUGAGAUGAAGCUUUAGAGUUUCCCAUAUUAUAUAAAUUUUGUACUUACCAGUAAAAGCUAAAAGGACAACAAAAGCAAACUUGAAUGAACCCAUCACUGCAGGAAAUGUGUUCGUUUUGACAACGGCAAGGUGAAUAUAUAUAUGUUCUCGACAAUGUAGUAUAACGUUUUUAUAGAACAGAAAAUGUGAUAAGGUCAAACUUUUUAUAUAUGGUAAGAAAAAAAAAUCUGAAAUAUCUUGUCUAUUAAAAUAGAAGUCAUGACUUAGUUCAUGUGUGAUUUUUUUUUAUUUG
Molecule: long non-coding RNA, 609 nt
Filed under: Brassica napus (rape)
Lineage: Eukaryota; Viridiplantae; Streptophyta; Magnoliopsida; Brassicales; Brassicaceae
Description: long non-coding RNA (BNAP_LNC002454)
Source: RNAcentral